GAUAAACGCUGGCGGCGUGCCUAAUACAUGCAAGUCGUGCGGCAGCGAGCCCUUCGGGGUGUCGGCGAGCGGCGGACGGCUGAGUAACACGUAGGAACAUACCCCAAAGUGAGGGAUAACUGCUCGGAAGAGUAGCUAAUACCGCAUGUGGUCUAAGGAUUAAAGCUUCGGCGCUUUGGGAAUGGCCUGCGUUCGAUUAGCUAGAUGGUGAGGUAAAGGCUCACCAUGGCGACGAUCGAUAGCUGGUCUGAGAGGAUGAUCAGCCAGACUGGGACUGAGACACGGCCCAGACUCCUACGGGAGGCAGCAGUAGGGAAUUUUCCACAAUGGGCGAAAGCCUGAUGGAGCAACGCCGCGUGCAGGAUGAAUGCCUUAGGGUUGUAAACUGCUUUUAUAUGUGACGAUUAUGACGGUAGCAUAUGAAUAAGGAUCGGCUAACUCCGUGCCAGCAGCCGCGGUAA
This 461-nucleotide ribosomal RNA is filed under the name uncultured bacterium. RNAcentral's name for it is "partial 16S ribosomal RNA". It matches the Rfam family "Bacterial small subunit ribosomal RNA", at positions 28 to 523 of the family's 1533-position model. The record is from RNAcentral.